GAUCCAGGGCCAUUUUACUGUCAGAGUGAUGGGUGAAGGUCCCAGCCAGAUGAACAGCAAAACCAGAUUUGGACAGAAAAGACAGAUGUCGAAGCAAGGUAAGGCUGACAGGUUUGGCCGGAAAUGAAACGAGCCCUUGUUACAUUCGGAUGUUAUAUACAUGGACCACGAAAGCAAGAACAGCCACAGAUUCUGGCUCGUGUCUCUUGGGCCGGGGAACACCAAAAUGAAAGGGGCGAGAUGACCACACCCCAGGUGGCAGGACACCUUGUUGCUGAGGAGCUCAUUUCAUGCUGCAGCUAAGCAGUUCUAUAACCCAGAGGAUUGCAGGGCGUUCUGCCAAGACUUACAUCAACUUACCUGCGUGGCCUGUGUGGAGACGUGCAAGGGAGCCAGAGCGCUGUGGAGGAACCAUUCCCACGAACUAGAUCACUGGAUAUCCUCCUUGACUGCUCUCCCUUGAACAUCGGGUCUCUGUUGAAAGGCACCUUCUCAGAGUCACCUUCCCUGACUGCCAUGUGUAAACCAGCACAUCUCACUCUCCACCCCAACCCUGCUUUAUUUCCCUUAAUGCUUCCCACUCCCUAACAUUACAUCACACAGCAAUGUUUUAGCUUAUUGUAGGUGGACCCCACCAAUGCAUGAUUCCUGAGGGAAAGACAUGUCCUAUCUGCUGUGGUGUCCCUGUUAUUAUGUGACACACAGAAUAAAUGCUAACAUUGA
Molecule: long non-coding RNA, 723 nt
Organism: Piliocolobus tephrosceles (Ugandan red Colobus)
Lineage: Eukaryota; Metazoa; Chordata; Mammalia; Primates; Cercopithecidae
Exons: 3
Source: RefSeq, a predicted model, not a curated record